CAGCGCCACAAGUGGGGAUCGCUUUUAUUGGGCCUAAAGCGUCCGUAGCCGGUUUAAUGAAUCUCUUGUGAAAUCGUUCGGCUCAACCGAACGGCGUGCAGGAGACACUCUUAGACUAGGGACCGGGAGGAGUUAGGAGUAUUCAAGGGGGAGCGGUAAAAUGCUAUAAUCCCUUGAGGACUACCAGUGGCGAAGGCGCCUAACUAGAACGGAUCCGACGGUGAGGGACGAAAGCCAGGGGAGCGAUCCGGAUUAGAGACCCGAGUAGUCC
This 271-nucleotide ribosomal RNA is filed under the name uncultured archaeon. RNAcentral describes it as "partial 16S ribosomal RNA". It matches the Rfam family "Archaeal small subunit ribosomal RNA", at positions 477 to 747 of the family's 1478-position model. The record is from RNAcentral.